AAAUUGAAGAGUUUGAUCAUGGCUCAGAUUGAACGCUGGCGGCAGGCCUAACACAUGCAAGUCGAGCGGCAGCGGGAAGUAGUUUACUACUUUGCCGGCGAGCGGCGGACGGGUGAGUAAUGUCUGGGAAACUGCCUGAUGGAGGGGGAUAACUACUGGAAACGGUAGCUAAUACCGCAUAACGUCU
Molecule: ribosomal RNA, 187 nt
Filed under: Yersinia enterocolitica
Lineage: Bacteria; Pseudomonadati; Pseudomonadota; Gammaproteobacteria; Enterobacterales; Yersiniaceae
Description: partial 16S ribosomal RNA
Rfam family: Bacterial small subunit ribosomal RNA
Source: RNAcentral